CGUCGCUACUACCGAUUGAAUGGCUCAGUGAGGCCUUCGGACUGGCCCAGGGAGGUCGGCAACGACCACCCAGGGCCGGAAAGUCGGUCAAACUCGGUCAUUUAGAGGAAGUAAAAGUCGUAACAAGGUCUCCGUAGGUGAACCUGCGGAGGGAUCAUUA
RNAcentral lists this ribosomal RNA (160 nucleotides) under Cercosporella virgaureae. RNAcentral's name for it is "partial 18S ribosomal RNA". It matches the Rfam family "Eukaryotic small subunit ribosomal RNA", at positions 1674 to 1831 of the family's 1831-position model. Lineage: Eukaryota; Fungi; Ascomycota; Dothideomycetes; Mycosphaerellales; Mycosphaerellaceae. The record is from RNAcentral.